This 253-nucleotide unclassified non-coding RNA is filed under the name uncultured fungus. Its description in RNAcentral is "sequence contains ITS1". Lineage: Eukaryota; Fungi. The record is from RNAcentral.
GUAUUGAGUUUAUAGGUUGUAAAAACCUAAAACAAGACAUUCUAUGACUUUGUUUAAAAGGGAUAAGGGGGGAGACUAUGAAAUUGAAUGGGAGCUAACGCAACCCUUUCAAUCCAAUGGCAAGCCAUUGAGAGAUAUCAUAGUCUACUACAGUGCACAAUGGUUAAAGAUGAAUUUGAAGGUGAGCACUUGCAAAGCCAGCUCAACCUCCGUGAAUUCAGUAAUGAUCCUUCCGCAGGUUCACCUACGGAAA